GCCAGCCCGCUCAGAAACUUAAAGGAAUUGACGGGGGCCCGGCACAAGCGGUGGAGCAUGUGGUUUAAUUCGAUGAUACGCGAGGAACCUUACCUGGGCUCAAAUGUAUGUUGACGUAUUCUGAAAGGGAUACUUCUUCGGACAAUAUACAAGGUGCUGCAUGGUUGUCGUCAGCUCGUGCCGUGAGGUGUCGGGUUAAGUCCCAUAACGAGCGCAACCCCUACCUUUAGUUGCCAUCAGGUUAAGCUGGGGACUCUAAAGGAACUGCCUACGCAAGUAGUGAGGAAGGCGGGGAUGACGUCAAAUCAGCACGGCCCUUACGUCCAGGGCUACACACGUGCUACAAUGGCCGAUACAGAGGGCAGCUACCUGGUGACAGGAUGCAAAUCUCCAAAGUCGGUCUCAGUUCGGAUCGGAGUCUGCAACCCGACUCCGUGAAGUUGGAUUCGCUAGUAAUCGCGCAUCAGCCAUGGCGCGGUGAAUACGUUCCCGGGCCUU
This 498-nucleotide ribosomal RNA is filed under the name uncultured Sphingobacteriales bacterium. RNAcentral's name for it is "bacterial SSU rRNA". It matches the Rfam family "Bacterial small subunit ribosomal RNA", at positions 903 to 1382 of the family's 1533-position model. The record is from RNAcentral. Lineage: Bacteria; Pseudomonadati; Bacteroidota; Sphingobacteriia; Sphingobacteriales.